UACGUAGGGUGCGAGCGUUGUCCGGAAUUACUGGGCGUAAAGAGCUCGUAGGUGGUUUGUCGCGUUGUUCGUGAAAACCUGAGGCUUAACCUUGGGCGUGCGGGCGAUACGGGCAGACUGGAGUACUGCAGGGGAGACUGGAAUUCCUGGUGUAGCGGUGAAAUGCGCAGAUAUCGAGAGGAACACCUGCGGCGAAGGCGGGUUGCUGGGCUGACACUGACGCUGAGGCGCGAAAGCUAGGGGAGCGAACGGG
This 253-nucleotide ribosomal RNA is filed under the name uncultured bacterium. Its description in RNAcentral is "partial 16S ribosomal RNA". It matches the Rfam family "Bacterial small subunit ribosomal RNA", at positions 524 to 776 of the family's 1533-position model. The record is from RNAcentral.